RNAcentral lists this ribosomal RNA (450 nucleotides) under uncultured bacterium. Its description in RNAcentral is "partial 16S ribosomal RNA". It matches the Rfam family "Bacterial small subunit ribosomal RNA", at positions 354 to 796 of the family's 1533-position model. The record is from RNAcentral.
GUGGGGAAUAUUCCGCAAUGGACGAAAGUCUGACGGAGCAACGCCGCGUGAGUGAUGAAGGUUUUCGGACUGUAAAGCUCUGUUGUUUAGGACGAAAGUGCCUGUUGCGAACAGUUACAGGUAUUGACGGUACUAAACGAGGAAGCCACGGCUAACUACGUGCCAGCAGCCGCGGUAAUACGUAGGUGGCAAGCGUUGUCCGGAAUUAUUGGGCGUAAAGAGCAUGUAGGCGGAGAUUUAAGUCUGUUGUGAAAAUGUGGGGCUCAACCCCGUAUUGCGAUGGAAACUGAAUUUCUUGAGUGCAGGAGAGGAAAGGGGAAUUCCCAGUGUAGCGGUGAAAUGCGUAGAUAUUGGGAGGAACACCAGUGGCGAAGGCGCCUUUCUGGACUGUGUCUGACGCUGAGAUGCGAAAGCCAGGGUAGCGAACGGGAUUAGAAACCCUGGUAGUCC